Mesocricetus auratus (golden hamster) is the source of this 1554-nucleotide long non-coding RNA. RefSeq lists it as uncharacterized. The record is from RefSeq and is a predicted model, not a curated record. NCBI's taxonomy places the organism in Eukaryota, Metazoa, Chordata, Mammalia, Rodentia, Cricetidae. The transcript is spliced from 3 exons.
CCUGGUUUCCUAGUUGUGGUCCUCUUUGGGAAGGCUGUGGAACCUCUAGGAGGUGGAGCCUUGCUGGAGGAAGUGUGUCACUGGGGGCGGGACUAAAGGCUUUGAAGGCGGCGCCAUUUCCUGUUUGCCCUGUUUCCUGACUAAGGAUGCAAUGUGACCAGCUGUUUCAGGCGUGACCCCCCCUGCUGUGACAAACGCAUCCCCUUGCACUGCGAGCCACAGUCUCUCUGGCUCCAUGAAGGAGCUUAGACAUGCUGCCCAGGAUACUGUCUUUAUGGUUCCUUGACGUGGAUUUUCUUUCCCUUGUCAUCCCCACCCCUCCACCAGCUGAACGUCAGGCGUUCUCAGACAUUUCCCUCUGCCUACCACACCCAGGUGGUGGCUGCCAAGGCCACAGGUAGUACACACCCAUGGCCACAGCUGUCACCAGGGAGCUACCGAGGGAAGAGGGAGAAGACCCUUAGCUUUGCAGGGAGGAAAGUUUGCUGAGAGCCCUGGGUGUGAGGCACCUCCCACAGCUCCCCUUCAAACAGAACAGGAGGCCCCCGCUCUGGAGCUCUGCCAGGAAUCUCCUCAGAAAGGCAUGGCAGCCAGCGCUCUGCCCACGGCCUGCCGGGGCCACACUGGGUGGUGAAAAUAAAAUCAACAGCUAACGAGGUGCUUUUUGAGCCCUCAGGGAAGAGAUGGGCAUGCAGCUGGGCAACUCGAGGAAAAUGUCUUCUGCCUGGUGAACAUCCCCCCCCCCAUAUUACUAUCUACCAUGUGUGUGUGCGUGUGUAGAUGUGUAGAGGGGGUGUUUCUAGAACGAAUGCCGAUCCUAGCCUAAUGCUCCCCCAGACAGACAGCCUCCCGCUUUCAGGAUUCCCAGCGAGGUCUGCUCUGAUACUUGUGUUUAUGCCACCCUCUGCUGGUACCAGUUAUCACUGCACCUACCCAGUGCCCGCAACAGUGGGGGAGCCAGACUGGAUGUCACACUUGCUGCUCUUCCUGGCAGGAGUGGACGCUGGGGUGGAAGGUCGACUCCCAGCCUCUGCAUUGCGGUGACCUCGUUGGCCCCCAUGCAGGCAGUCAAGAACCGAGAAUGCCUCCGAAUAAUAUCAUAGUGCCAGCUAACGUUUAUUUGCUUAAUAUUUCAGGGUUGGUAACCAUAUAUGCUUAAUUUAUCUGUUUAUCUGCUUCUCUUUAUGCACUUUAUAUUUGUGGGCAAGGUUUAUUUUCCCCAUGCCAAAGGGUUUCCUUGAUUUGUCUCCCUCAACUCUCUCGUAAUUCUGCGAGCUGGUUUUACUUUCCCUAUAGCAUUCUAGAGCACGGCGCUGAAGCAUUCUGAGAGCCACACUCUGGCAACGGGCAGGGCUGGGGUUUGAGUCCAGGUAAGCCUGGCUUUAGGGCCUGUGUGCCAUUUCAUUGGUGGCUCCGUGACUUCAGAGAACAUGCAGAUUGCUAAUAAUUGCCUGUUAAAGGGCUGGUGUCAGGGCCCAGGUGAUCUGGCUCUCCAGUAAGCCAGGGAAUCUGCAUUAUAACAUGCCCAGAGGUGACAUUGCCCUGGAAGCUGUA